GAAAGAUGGCUUCGGCUAUCACUUACAGAUGGGCCCGCGGCGCAUUAGCUAGUUGGUGAGGUAACGGCUCACCAGGGCGACGAUGCGUAGCCGACUGAGAGGGUGAUCGGCCACACUGGGACUGAGACACGGCCCAGACUCUACGGGAGGCAGCAGUAGGGAAUCUUCCGCAAUGGACGAAAGUCUGACGGAGCAACGCCGCGUGAGCGAUGAAGGCCUUCGGGUCGUAAAGCUCUGUUGUUAGGGAAGAAUAAGUGCUAGUUGAAUAAGCUGGCACCUUGACGGUACCUAACCAGAAAGCCACGGCUAACUACGUGCCAGCAGCCGCGGUAAUACGUAGGUGGCAAGCGUUGUCCGGAAUUAUUGGGCGUAAAGCGCGCGCAGGCGGUUUCUUAAGUCUGAUGUGAAAGCCCCCGGCUCAACCGGGGAGGGUCAUUGGAAACUGGGAAACUUGAGUGCAGAAGAGGAAAGUGGAAUUCCAAGUGUAGCGGUGAAAUGCGUAGAGAUUUGGAGGAACACCAGUGGCGAAGGCGACUUUCUGGUCUGUAACUGACGCUGAGGCGCGAAAGCGUGGGGAGCAAACAGGAUUAGAUACCCUGGUAGUCCACGCUGUAAACGAUGAGUGCUAAGUGUUAGAGGGUUUCCGCCCUUUAGUGCUGAAGUUAACGCAUUAAGCACUCCGCCUGGGGAGUACGGUCGCAAGACUGAAACUCAAAGGAAUUGACGGGGGCCCGCACAAGUGGUGGAGCAUGUGGUUUAAUUCGAAGCAACGCGAAGAACCUUACCAGGUCUUGACAUCCUCUGACAACCCUAGAGAUAGGGCUUUCCCUUCGGGGACAGAGUGACAGGUGGUGCAUGGUGUC
This 863-nucleotide ribosomal RNA is filed under the name Gottfriedia luciferensis. Its description in RNAcentral is "bacterial SSU rRNA". It matches the Rfam family "Bacterial small subunit ribosomal RNA", at positions 202 to 1053 of the family's 1533-position model. The record is from RNAcentral. Lineage: Bacteria; Bacillati; Bacillota; Bacilli; Caryophanales; Bacillaceae.